UCUCUAAUCUCCACUUUCUCUACUGACUACUGUAUUAUCUUCCUUUUUUUUCAUUCUACAUCUAACACAUAAGAGAAUCAGAUCGAGAAGUUUGAGAAGAUUGGGAGAGACGAACUGAGUGAUUACCAGAGACUCUCAGAGAAGUAACUAAAAAGAAUCACCACUAGGGAAAGCAACCGAAUCUGCUCAUCCAGAUACGGAAAUCGUGGACUGAAGUGAAGUUGAUGCAAUGAUACAACAUGCCAGGCAGCCAAGCAAGAUCACACUAAGUUUCACUACUCACUAGCGUGUUGACAUUGUUAGCCUCUGUGACUGUAACUCUGUUAGACAUUGUUUUUUUUCUUUUUUGGCUUUGUUGUAGCCUGUAGUGUACUUUCUUUUGCAUUCACUAGACUGUGUUUGUGUGGGUUUGUACUUUUCACUGAACAUUUUGAACUUAAAAAGCCAAAGGCUGUUUUUUUCAA
Long non-coding RNA from Papaver somniferum (opium poppy), 464 nucleotides. RefSeq lists it as uncharacterized. NCBI's taxonomy places the organism in Eukaryota, Viridiplantae, Streptophyta, Magnoliopsida, Ranunculales, Papaveraceae. The record is from RefSeq and is a predicted model, not a curated record. The transcript has 3 exons.